This is an RNA transcript of Drosophila novamexicana, 964 nucleotides long. RefSeq lists it as uncharacterized. The record is from RefSeq and is a predicted model, not a curated record. NCBI's taxonomy places the organism in Eukaryota, Metazoa, Arthropoda, Insecta, Diptera, Drosophilidae. The transcript has 3 exons.
UUAAAACACAAAAAAGCGCUUGACAGUUGCGGAUUAUAACAAUGAAUUCGGAAAGGUCAGCACAAUGCUCUAUAUUUCCAUAUUUCUGCUCCUCAAUAUUGGCUGCAUAUCCCAGAGCUAUAUCAUCCGGCCACGCGAGAAGCAAACGCAACCUCGAUAUCUAUCCAGAUCUGGCGCGGAUGGAUGAGGAAGGUGGCAAAAAAGAAGGCGGCGGCGAGGGACAAGGCUGCGAGGAAAGCAGAAGCCACACUUGCAACAAUCCGUUAAGCAAGACCGAUCCCAAAGCUAAAGCCUCAAACAUUGCACAGAAAGCAGCGCAGGAGGCGAAGGCGGCGAAUGACGCACAAAUGGCAGCCGCGGACGCUGCUGCCUCGCAGGUGAAAGUGGAGCUCGCCGAGAAGGCGCUUCAGUCGGCACGUGCGGCCGAGGCAGCUCUGGCUGGCAAGCAGCAGAUCGUUGAGCAACUGGAGAUGGAGCACCACGAGGCGGAGGCUGUUGUCCAGGAGGUGAACAACUCGCUGCACAAUACGCAGACGAAUGCGGCUGCCGCCAACGAUGCCGCCGCCGAGGCACGCAACCAACUGGCCGCCCUCAUGCGACUGGUGCAGGCGGCCACCACGAAUCUGGCCAACAUUGAGAACGUCUCGAUGGGUGCGCAACAGGAGCUGGCCGAAAAGACGCAACUGCUGGAAGCGGCCAGGAAUCGCGUCGGAAAUCUGGCCAACCAGCUGCAGGUGGCCAGACAGGACUUCGAAAAGACCAAGAAGGCUGCCUACAAAGCAGCCUGUGCCGCCGUCGAAGCCAAGCAGAAGGCGCAAAGGAGUCGACGCCUGAGUCCCUACUGAACGGCCGACAGGCCAAGUCUGUGGCAACAACUUUAUUGGAUUGUUUUGUUUAUACUGAUAUUAUGACAGUCAGAGUAUUUCCUACGAACUAGUCUAGAUGGGCUACCGAAUCGAGAGCU